Molecule: long non-coding RNA, 392 nt
Organism: Diachasma alloeum
Lineage: Eukaryota; Metazoa; Arthropoda; Insecta; Hymenoptera; Braconidae
Exons: 2
Source: RefSeq, a predicted model, not a curated record
CCGCAUUUUAUGCGUUCAUAUCCGUCGCAAGCGCGGUCAAUUUUUAGUAGUAUGGACCUAGUGCCGUCGCUAUAAUUGAUCAGCUGUUGGUUGUACGGUAUUCUAGAACUGGCUUAACAUAUUAAUAUCGGUCUGCGAUGCUACUGCUUUGGGUACUUUCAGGACCCGUCUUGAAACACGGACCAAGGAGUCUAACAUGUACGCGAGUCAUUGGGAUUUUUUUAUAAAUUAAACCUAAAGGCGUAAUGAAAGUAAAGGUCGUUCUUGUAACGAUUGAGGGAGGAUGAGUUGUGUUAAAAUACAGCUUCGCACUCCCGGGGCGUCUCAUUCUUAUUACAAGAAGAGGCGCACCUAGAGCGUACACGUUGGGACCCGAAAGAUGGUGAACUAUG